Molecule: ribosomal RNA, 120 nt
Filed under: Helianthus annuus (common sunflower)
Lineage: Eukaryota; Viridiplantae; Streptophyta; Magnoliopsida; Asterales; Asteraceae
Source: RNAcentral
GGUUGCGAUCAUACCAGCAUUAAUGCACCGGAUCCCAUCAGAACUCCGCAGUUAAGCGUGCUUGGGCGAGAGUAGUACUAGGAUGGGUGACCCCCUGGGAAGUCCUCGUGUUGCAACCCC